GAUGAACGCUUGCGGCGUGCCUAAUACAUGCAAGUCGAGCGAACAGACGAGGAGCUUGCUCCUCUGACGUUAGCGGCGGACGGGUGAGUAACACGUGGAUAACCUACCUAUAAGACUGGGAUAACUUCGGGAAACCGGAGCUAAUACCGGAUAAUAUAUUGAACCGCAUGGUUCAAUAGUGAAAGACGGUUUUGCUGUCACUUAUAGAUGGAUCCGCGCCGCAUUAGCUAGUUGGUAAGGUAACGGCUUACCAAGGCAACGAUGCGUAGCCGACCUGAGAGGGUGAUCGGCCACACUGGAACUGAGACACGGUCCAGACUCCUACGGGAGGCAGCAGUAGGGAAUCUUCCGCAAUGGGCAAAAGCCUGACGGAGCAACGCCGCGUGAGUGAUGAAGGUCUUCGGAUCGUAAAACUCUGUUAUUAGGGAAGAACAAAUGUGUAAGUAACUAUGCACGUCUUGACGGUACCUAAUCAGAAAGCCACGGCUAACUACGUG
This 497-nucleotide ribosomal RNA is filed under the name uncultured bacterium. Its description in RNAcentral is "partial 16S ribosomal RNA". It matches the Rfam family "Bacterial small subunit ribosomal RNA", at positions 28 to 507 of the family's 1533-position model. The record is from RNAcentral.